UAUCGGAGAGUUUGAUCCUGGCUCAGGACGAACGCUGGCGGCGUGCCUAAUACAUGCAAGUCGAGCGGAUUGAUGGGAGCUUGCUCCCUGAAAUCAGCGGCGGACGGGUGAGUAACACGUGGGUAACCUGCCUGUAAGACUGGGAUAACUCCGGGAAACCGGGGCUAAUACCGGAUAGUUCUUUUCCUCGCAUGAGGAAAAGUGGAAAGGCGGCUUCGGCUGCCACUUACAGAUGGACCCGCGGCGCAUUAGCUAGUUGGUGAGGUAACGGCUCACCAAGGCAACGAUGCGUAGCCGACCUGAGAGGGUGAUCGGCCACACUGGGACUGAGACACGGCCCAGACUCCUACGGGAGGCAGCAGUAGGGAAUC
Molecule: ribosomal RNA, 371 nt
Filed under: Rossellomorea vietnamensis
Lineage: Bacteria; Bacillati; Bacillota; Bacilli; Caryophanales; Bacillaceae
Description: bacterial SSU rRNA
Rfam family: Bacterial small subunit ribosomal RNA
Source: RNAcentral